AAGAUGCAGUGAAUUUGUACACAAACAUGCAGAUAUUUUUGCUUCAUUUUCUUUCUAACAAAGUCUGCAUACAAAGUACUAAGUACUAGUACUGACCCUCUCUUCAACUUCAACGAGAAAUGAACCAGACUAUACCUACAAGCACUACUACAUAGGUUCAGAGAACAAACACUAUGAACAAACACAUUCAUGCUAACUCAGGCCAUAGCUACUGCAGUUCCAGCUUCACGAGAGACGUCUCCGCAGGAUCACGGAAAAACUAGCGCUAGUUCUACCGACUAAAUGAAGUAAUAAACUCCGGCACCACCGCUGCUUCUGCCCAUCAUUUUGUGUCCAAUUCUACUGACUAACUGAACUCCAGCAUCACGAAAGAAACCAUGAACAAGCAAACAACUCCGGUGAGUGACGCGGGUGGGCCUAGGAUCGCAGCCCAGUUGAGCGAGCACAGCAUCAGGGACUUCAUCCAUCAACCAAUCGAUUCGAUCGGCGCUAGUUACUGCUAGGCCAAAUCAGCCGGGAACCCCUCCCCUAUCCCACCCGACGAAGCAGGAACCCGACUCUGCUGGAUCGAUUUCCUGCCGCCGACGAAGGGAACCGCCUGGCUGCAGGGGCGGGAGCAAACGGGAACGGGUGAAGAGCUCGUCCUGACUCGAUGACAUCCCUAUUGGCCGACUCGACCUAUGCCAUACGAGGGGAUAAGGUAACAGGAGAAAGGCAGGAGAGCGGCGACGUGCGGACGUACCAGUGCCCCGCGGAGGGCUGGACCACGCCGACGGACGCCGACGGGGAAGAUGACCGCCGCCGCGCGGAGUGGCGAAGGCGCGCAGCGGGAAUUGCAGGUUGCCGCGAAGCACAACCUCGAAGAUCUCUGGGCGCAGUGCGGUCGAGCCUAUCGGGACGGGGACGCUGCUCGCAGAUGUGCGAUCUCAAACGGACGGCAUGCAGGUCGUGUGG
Molecule: long non-coding RNA, 954 nt
Filed under: Triticum aestivum (bread wheat)
Lineage: Eukaryota; Viridiplantae; Streptophyta; Magnoliopsida; Poales; Poaceae
Description: long non-coding RNA (TAES_LNC019644)
Source: RNAcentral